CCUCAGUUGAGCAUUCAGUUAGAGGCGGCGAUCGCAGGUUCGCCGGAGGAGAGGGUGUUGCGAGCAAGAUUGCACAAACAAAGCCCUCCUGCCCGCAGCCCUAUUCUAGAAAUUAGGCUGGGGUAUUUUGAAGUGAGAAGUGGGUGAACUGGGAGCAUGUAGGAAAGCAAGAUGAACUCAAAGCAGUGAUUCCUCUUUUUGACAGUUGUGACCUUCUCUGAAUUCAAGCAAGAUUUUUAUGCUUCAGCAAUCAAGGAGUUCUAUGCCACAGUGCACAUCCCUAAGAAUUGCUCCAACAUGCAAUGG
This 306-nucleotide long non-coding RNA is filed under the name Hordeum vulgare. Its description in RNAcentral is "long non-coding RNA (HVUL_LNC014464)". Lineage: Eukaryota; Viridiplantae; Streptophyta; Magnoliopsida; Poales; Poaceae. The record is from RNAcentral.